Non-coding RNA from Pelobates cultripes (western spadefoot toad), 1008 nucleotides. The record is from the annotation of a GenBank genome assembly. NCBI's taxonomy places the organism in Eukaryota, Metazoa, Chordata, Amphibia, Anura, Pelobatidae.
CUGACACAAACAUUGCAAGCCUUGACAAAGUCUUCCACAUCCCUACGUAAACCGGGCCACCAGAAGUCUUUGGAGAUCAGGCAGUAAGUUUUGUGGAUGCCGGGGUGACCAGCGAACUUGCUAUCGUGGAAACAGCGAAUAAUGUCCACUUGGAAUUUGGGGGACACGAACAAGCGGCCCACAGGAGUACGUUCGGGAGCAAGAGAUUGUUCGUUCAUAAUAGCAGCGAGCAAUGGAGAGUGUAUUUUGACAUUGGUGUUGGCGAUAAUAUUGACUCCAGGAAUAAUAGGGAACAAAGUAUCCUCUGUAGUGGUGGUAGGUUCGUGCUGACGUGACAAAGCGUCUGCCUUAGUGUUCUUAGAACCAGGCCUGUAAGUAAGCACAUAAUUAAAGUGUGUAAGGAACAUAGACCAACGUGCCUGCCUGGCAGAUAAUCUUUUGGCCUCCCCCAUAUACGAUAAAUUUUUGUGGUCAGUCAAGAUAGUAACUGGGAGGAUGGUGCCCUCUAACAAAUGUCUCCAUUCCUUUAAUGCCAUAAUGAUAGCUAGAAGUUCUCUAUCACCAAUGUCAUAUCUCCUUUCAGUGUGUGAUAGUUUCUUGGAAAAAAAAACGCAAGGGUGCAGCGGCUUAUCUAAACUUUGUCUUUGGGACAACACUGCGCCUAUCCCUGUUUCAGACGCAUCAACUUCAAGUAAAAAGGGUAGAGAGGUAUCAGGAUGAACUAAUACAGGUGCUGAGGCAAAAGACUGUUUGAGCGAUUCGAAAGCAGAUAAAGCCUCAGUAGACCAGGUUUUGGUAUCGGCUCCUUGUUUGGUCAUAUUAGUGAUAGGAGCGAUAACAGAGGAGUACCCUUUAAUAAAACGUCUGUAAUAAUUAGAAAAUCCAAGAAAUCUUUGUAUGGCUUUGAGUCCCUUAGGUAAAGGCCAAUCUAAAAUCGAUUUUAGUUUGGUCGGGUCCAUCAUAAACCCGUCUUUGGAAAUUACGUAACCUAAGAAAGUUACCUGAGAC